AUUGAACGCUGGCGGCAUGCCUUACACAUGCAAGUCGAACGGCAGCGCGGGGCAACCUGGCGGCGAGUGGCGAACGGGUGAGUAAUAUAUCGGAACGUACCCUGGAGUGGGGGAUAACGUAGCGAAAGUUACGCUAAUACCGCAUACGAUCUAAGGAUGAAAGUGGGGGCUCGCAAGACCUCAUGCUCCUGGAGCGGCCGAUAUCUGAUUAGCUAGUUGGUAGGGAAAAGCCUACCAAGGCAUCGAUCAGUAGCUGGUCUGAGAGGACGACCAGCCACACUGGAACUGAGACACGGUCCAGACUCCUACGGGAGCAGCAGUGGGAAUUUGGACAAUGGGGGCAACCCUGAUCCAGCGACGCCGCGUGUGUGAAGAAGGCCUGCGGGUUGUAAAGCACUUUUAGUGGGGAUGAAAAGCCGAAGGCUAAUACCUUUCGGUCUUGACCUAACCUACAGAAAAGCACCGGCUAACUCUGUGCCAGCCGCCGCUGUAA
Molecule: ribosomal RNA, 493 nt
Filed under: uncultured bacterium
Lineage: Bacteria
Description: bacterial SSU rRNA
Rfam family: Bacterial small subunit ribosomal RNA
Source: RNAcentral